ACACCAGAGGCAGCUGUCAACAUCUGGGCCAACAGUCUAGGCCAGCAGAGAGAAAGAAAGGGAUCUUAGCCCUCAAUGACUCAGCUCUCUCAGGU
RNAcentral lists this long non-coding RNA (95 nucleotides) under Mus pahari (shrew mouse). RNAcentral's name for it is "sRNA (MGP_PahariEiJ_G0008051.1)". It matches the Rfam family "SPRY4-IT1 conserved region 1". Lineage: Eukaryota; Metazoa; Chordata; Mammalia; Rodentia; Muridae. The record is from RNAcentral.